This 430-nucleotide long non-coding RNA is filed under the name Solanum tuberosum (potato). RNAcentral's name for it is "long non-coding RNA (STUB_LNC001800)". Lineage: Eukaryota; Viridiplantae; Streptophyta; Magnoliopsida; Solanales; Solanaceae. The record is from RNAcentral.
AGGUUCAUUGAUCACUGUAUCAUGAAAAUGGAACAUAGUUAUAUAUUAGGUGUUAAAUGCUACAAACUAUUUUUAUUUUUAAACAAGCUGUAAUGAAAAUAUUAUACUUUAAAGUAUACUAUGUCUAACCUUGAUCGGGAUGAGCUCAUGAACUGUUGCACUUGUUUCAAAAUAUCAUCUUGACGUGCCAAUAUAGUUUUCAAGAUUACAAUUAGGAGCAGUAUGGUUAAAGUUUAACAUAAAUGAAAGCUUUGAUCGUUUAAACUUUCACUUCAAUAAAAUAUCAAAAUUGUGGGAAUUUACAAUAACCAGAAACACAACAUCUGACAAAAUUCAGUUAAGGUAAGGAAAUAAAUUAAUUUAGGUCAAUAAUAUAAUAAUAUUGUAGAGAAUCAGGCGAAGCAAAUAAAUUCAAAGAAAGAAGUAAAAU